This is a long non-coding RNA of Gopherus flavomarginatus (Mexican gopher tortoise), 355 nucleotides long. RefSeq lists it as uncharacterized. The record is from RefSeq and is a predicted model, not a curated record. NCBI's taxonomy places the organism in Eukaryota, Metazoa, Chordata, Testudines, Testudinidae. The transcript has 2 exons.
GGCCCAGUUCUCUCUUCUCGUCAGAAGUAUGGGGCCUUGAUGCAUAAGACCCGUGGUCUGCUUGAGGCAUUUACUUCUUGGCGGAGAUUAGCAUCCAGGUCCCACCACUGUGGUAAUGGUGGGGUUUUUUUGAUGUUGUGGUUAGCUGCCCACUAGGAACUGAACUCCACCAUUUCACAUAGGACACGAGCUAGCAGAUGAAAAGAACUUGGGUCACGUGAACGUGGACUGCAUUCAGGCAGGACAGUUAGGAGAGUUUGCAUUUUCCUCCUCUUAAGUGAAAGCUUCUUAACUAAGCUAGGUUUCCAACAUUCCCACUCUGGUCCUUAAGUAAGGAGUAAUCAUAAGAAAUUCU